RNAcentral lists this ribosomal RNA (404 nucleotides) under uncultured bacterium. RNAcentral describes it as "partial 16S ribosomal RNA". It matches the Rfam family "Bacterial small subunit ribosomal RNA", at positions 28 to 526 of the family's 1533-position model. The record is from RNAcentral.
GAUGAACGCUGGCGGCGUGCCUAAUACAUGCAAGUCGAGCGAAGCGGGGACGGGUGAGUAACACGUGGAUAACCUCCUAUAAGACUGGGAUAACUUCGGGAAACCGGUGCUAAACCGGAUACUUAUAGCUGGAUGCGCGCUGCAUUAGCUAGUUGGUAAGGUAACGGCUUACCAAGGCAACGAUGCAUGGCCGACCUGAGAGAGUGAUCGGCAAAAUGGAAACGGAGACAGGGUCCAGACUCCAACGGGGGGCAGCGUGAGGAAAUCUUCCGAAAUGGGGGAAAGCCUAACGGAGCAACGCGGCGGGAGGAAUGAAGGUCUUCGGAUCUAAAAUCUCUGUUAUUAGGGAAGCGGUACCUAAUCAGAAAGCCACGGCUAACUACGUGCCAGCAGCGCGGUAAUUC